RNAcentral lists this ribosomal RNA (433 nucleotides) under uncultured bacterium. RNAcentral's name for it is "partial 16S ribosomal RNA". It matches the Rfam family "Bacterial small subunit ribosomal RNA", at positions 29 to 507 of the family's 1533-position model. The record is from RNAcentral.
AACGAACGCUGGCGGCAUGCCUAACACAUGCAAGUCGAACGAGACCAUCGGGUCUGGUGGCGCAUGGGGGCGUAGCGCGUGGGAACCUGCCCUUAGGUUUGGAAGAUCGCGCCGAAUGGGGUGCUAAUACCGGAUAAUGUCCUCCAACCAAAGAUUUAUCGCCUUUGGAUGGGCCGGGGUGGGAUCAGCUGGUUGGUAGGGUAAAAGCCUACAACGGCGAGGAUCCAUAGCUGGGUAGUGAGGAAGGGCAGCCACACUGGGACUAGGCAACGGCCCGGAAUCUUACGGGAGGGAGGAGUGGGUGAUAUAGGAAAGCGGGGGGAGGGAUGAAGGAGCUAUGCCGGGUGAGUAAUGAAGGCCGGAGGGAUGUAAAGCACUUUUACCCGGGAUGGUAAUGACGGUACCAGGAGAAUAAGCACCGGCUAACUUCGUG